Long non-coding RNA from Hypanus sabinus (Atlantic stingray), 1243 nucleotides. RefSeq lists it as uncharacterized. The record is from RefSeq and is a predicted model, not a curated record. Lineage: Eukaryota; Metazoa; Chordata; Chondrichthyes; Myliobatiformes; Dasyatidae. The transcript is spliced from 3 exons.
GGAUCUAAGGUUUGAGUGGUUUAAUAUCAGAUCAUAUAUAAAGCUUUUCCCUUUACUUUAAAAAUACUGUGUGCCUUGCAGCAAAUUCUGCAAACAGCCCUGCAUCAGUCUGUUUUGGAUGAAGCUAACAGUUGAGUAUAGCUCAUAUUGCAUCUCUGUAUAAUUUCAUGUGGCUCUUUUAAACCUUCAGUAGAUUCCAGUGAAGAGCCAUCUGCUGAAGUGGUAGAAGUUAGUGAAGAGGCCUCUGUGACUGAGAGUGUCGAGCAACCUGAAAUUCCUGCAUCAGUUGAACCCGGCGAGGAAAAGUCAACAGUGGAAGAAGAAAUGAUUACAGUUCUGCCAGCAUCUACUUCAGCUAAAGAUGAUUCCCAAACUCCUGAAGUACCUGAAGCUGGUGGAGAGGCCACGGAGGUAAUAGCAGUGGAGGUGGAGAGCCCUGUGGUUGAUGAUGCUGAGCAGACGGAAAAUCCUCCAGCAGUUGUAGAACCCGUGGUGACCUCAGAAAAGGAGGAAGUGACAUCGGCGGCACAGGAGCAAUAGCUAUGACUGAAACAAAUUACAGACGAGCUGAAUUUUCAUAUUGGGUAACUUGAUUGUUUGGACCCUGCAAGGAGUUACAACACGCAACAAUGAUGAUGUGCAGAAACCUGCAAGUUCUACAUCUGAGGAAUAGUUCUAAAAAUGGUUUAUUUCUCACUUUACAAUGCACGAUCUAGUGCAUAUUUAUUAUUUUAGCAUUAAGCCAUAACAUUAGCAUUGUGUAACUAUUAAUUCUACUAUUAUACUUACAUACUCUUGGAUUUCUAAAUAUACAUUAAUAUUAUUGAUAAAUACUUAAUUUCAAAGUUAAGUAAGUGUUUCUGUAACAAUACUGAGGUAGAUGGAAGACAGCAAUAAAGGAAGGGUACAUUGCAAUGAAGCAACUCUCGGAGCGGGAGGGCAGGUGUGGGAGAUGCUUGAACUGGGGCGCCACAGCAGCGUAGUGGUUAGCACACGCUAUUACAGCUCUGUAAGAAGUCUGUACAUCCCUCCCAUGAACCUCGUGGGUUUUCUCCAGGCGCUGUGUGUCCUCACAAAAUCCAAAGACAUGCCGCUUAGUAGGGUAAUUGGUCAUUGUAAAUUGUCCUGUGAUUAGGCUUGGAUUUAAUAGGUGGGUUGCUGGGCAGUGUGCUUUGUUGGGCUGGAAGGGUCUGUUCUGCUCUGAAUCUCUAAAUAAAAUAAAAUAUGUUGAUUCAUUCCUUCA